GGACCCCUGCCAUGUUCGAGCAGGACACCCAAAUUGGAGAACCAACACUAACCGUUAUGGGGACUCGGAUGACUUGGCACUGGCAAGCCCGCUACGACGGGAUCCCAAACCCAGGUCGGCGGUCGCCCACUUCGUAAUAACGGUUCUUCCAAACUCGUCUCAGACGGCAUUGCGGUGGGGGUUCC
This 185-nucleotide non-coding RNA is filed under the name bacterium. Its description in RNAcentral is "6S RNA". It matches the Rfam family "6S / SsrS RNA". From Rfam's summary of the family: E. coli 6S RNA was the first non coding RNA to be sequenced, but its function was unknown until recently. The record is from RNAcentral.